Oreochromis aureus is the source of this 1310-nucleotide long non-coding RNA. The record is from Ensembl. NCBI's taxonomy places the organism in Eukaryota, Metazoa, Chordata, Actinopteri, Cichliformes, Cichlidae.
GUUCAUACUUUUAUUCCACAAUCAGAGAGAAAGAAACAGAGAGAGAGUGCAGGACAGACAGACAGGUGACAGUCUCAGGUGUAUACAUUGCUACAAAACAGCACAAGAGAAGGAGGAUUUAGUGUUUGUGUUAUUACGAGUGCUAAACAAGAAGAGUUCCCAGAUGGUACAGUGGACACAUGUGUGACUCCUGUGAUUAAAGCAUCUUUCUUUCAGCUUAACGAGUGAACCGUCAGCUCGUUCAAACACAUGUUAAAGUCCGUUUGGCUCGACACCACCGAACAGAGGCAGCAAUAUAACAUAGCUAACAUUAACAGUGCAGUGAAUCCUGCUUGUGCCGUGAUAUUCAGGACUGCAAACCGAGCAGCAUCACUGACUUUCAGCUUGUUGUGUGUUUGUGGAUAUAUGACUGACUUUAAUUACGCAUAAAAUCAUCACAUUCUCUGUAGGAUUAAGGUCAACUAUCGAACGGCGUAUAAAGUAAAGGCUUUAAAACAAAGUAAACACUGAAAGUACAAACAUCGCUAAUGUCACAUAACUUUGCCGGCAUGUGGCCAACAGUAAUAUUUUAAUAUUCUUUUUAAUUAAACAUUUGCACAUAAAUAAGUGACAUAAUAUUCAGUACUUACUUUUGAAAGUUUACUCUUUGGCCGCCCCGCUUCCACUUGUUUGAAGUGUCUCCCAGUCCCAGUCCACUUGUUAGCAUGUUUUGGUUCGUGCAACUGGUCCGUCGGGUUAUUGUCUCCCCAGAAACAUUUCCAUUGUGUUGUGUGUGCUUUUGCAGCGUUUUUCUUUUUGCAGCAUUUUUCUUUUUGCAAGUGUUUUUCUUUUUUUGCAGUCUGUUUGGCCUCUCAGGGCCACCGUAUGUUCCUGCUCAAACACUGUCAGGAGUUUUCCUGUAUUGCAACUCAGGUCAGAAUAAAAACGCUCAGACAGGUUUAACGUGUACACGGGUGAGACUCAGGGAGACUCGCACCCUGCAGUAAAAAAAAACAGUCUUUAUUCACAGAGAUACAGGAAGAGAUAAAAUAGACCCGUGCAGGCUUCCUGUGGAGCGCAGAGUGUAACUUCCCCAUUUAGGAGUCUGCACAGAGUGUGACUUCCCCAUUUAAGCUGAAUACUGAAAGAGCAAACACAUUUAGAUAAAGAAACGUACUUUUAAGCAUAACAUAAUAAAAAUCCCAAAAUCCUGAAAUCUUUUGACAAACACAGUGGUGUUUUUGAGUAGCUUAUCUGCUUAGCAAUUUAAUUUAAAACUUUUAGAUACAUUCCUUUUUCAUAGUAUAAUCUUCACGUGCUUCAUCCGAAGC